RNAcentral lists this unclassified non-coding RNA (301 nucleotides) under Hevea brasiliensis (rubber tree). The record is from RNAcentral. Lineage: Eukaryota; Viridiplantae; Streptophyta; Magnoliopsida; Malpighiales; Euphorbiaceae.
GUAAAUGUGAACUCAAACUCCGUGGAAAACGAUGACAUUUUGCUGGGACUGGAACCGAGAAAUUUAAAGGGAUCCUUGCACAAGAGAAGACCAGAGCUUGAGGCACGAGGGUUCGUGAGUUGCACACGAGAACCAUCAUCGGAUAUCCUGGCGUCGCCGAGGAGAACAAUUUGGGGAUCGAAUUUGGGGUUGCUAGUGAUUAGGGUAACAAAUGAGUAACCAGAAAUGGGAUAUAGGGUUAGAAGAUGAAAAAUCAGGUACUGAAACCAUAAUGCAGACCUAAAAAUGUGUAAUGUAGCCA